Non-coding RNA from Dallia pectoralis (Alaska blackfish), 70 nucleotides. The record is from the annotation of a GenBank genome assembly. Lineage: Eukaryota; Metazoa; Chordata; Actinopteri; Esociformes; Umbridae.
GCUGGUGUAGCUCAGUGGUACAGGGUAUGCUUUGUAUGUAUGAUGUCCUGGGUUCAAUUCUCAGGUCGCA